Molecule: long non-coding RNA, 2179 nt
Filed under: Homo sapiens (human)
Lineage: Eukaryota; Metazoa; Chordata; Mammalia; Primates; Hominidae
Description: HSALNT0292582
Source: RNAcentral
CAGACCCAAGAAGGAACCUGACAUGGUGACCCAGACAGAGCCAGGAGAGAAGCCAUGAGCUUAGCUCACACAGAUUCUGACUGUGAGAAGAGGCAAGAGAUGGAAGGCAACUUUAAGUACAGAAAACAAACUCACACAUCCAGAGGAAGUGCAUAGGUCCGGGCAACGAAAAGCCUGAAAUCACAUAGAUGGCAAGACAAGAGUCAAUCCUAACAAAACCAAGGAAUAUGGCCAUGAUGGAAUGACAAAAGUCCAGACAUAUUCUCCCAUCAUAAACAACAAGAAAACUGGGUGAAAAUGACAUAACAAGUGUUUUCAGAUGUUGGACAACAGAUAGUGCAAUACUUUGAUUCCUAAGAAACGGGGGAAAAGUGAGGUAAGCCCUUGGCCUUCUGCCUGGGAUCUCAUUCUGUACCCCAUGGCAGGUUGAGGAAUCCUCAGCAGAGCUCAGCAGUCUCACUAAGUUGAGGACAGAGAUUUAGUUCAGGGAGGCUGAGGUGACUCAAAAUUGUGGAGCAGAGUUUCAGAGAGGAGAGCUGCAUAGAAAAAUCACUUCAGAGUCUUUGCCGAAUAUUAGGUCAUGCAUGCCUAGGGCAAAACUCCACGAGGCCAGGCAAUGAAUGGGGAGCUGGAGACUGAGCAAUCCCCAAAAAUCACAGCAGUGAGAGACAUGUAAACUCCAACCAGCAGGAGCGGAACGUCCUCACGGAUCACCUGGACCUUCAGUAGAGACCACAGAAGUGUCAUGACUGGGUGGUGGGAUUAUCCCUAGAGUCAUUGCUUCUCUAGACUUGCCCUAAAAAUCUUCAAAACAAGCCUUGGGAGGAUCAAACCGAUCAACAAGUAACUUGUCUAACUGGCAGGAAACACUUCAACUUCUUUAAAGGACAACAAGAAAAUCCAGAUGCUCAAAACACAAUAUUCAGUAUCCAAUAAAAAAUUACAGGACAUGCCAAAAAGUAGGCAAAUGUGUUCUAUAAUCAGGAAGAAAAAUCAAUCAGAAAAUCAUAGAAAUGAUAGAAUCAGCAGACAAAGACUUUGAAACAGCUGUUAAGCUCUGUCGAAAUGAUAAAAAGUAAACAUAUAUGUAGUAAAGAAAUAAAUGGAAGAUAUAUUUUAAAAAGACAAAGUGAAACUUCUAGAAAUUAAAAAAAUACAGUAUAUGCCAAUGAAACAUCUUCUGGAAAGAUUGAAAGUAUAAUUGCAAGAGAAAAUAUUAGUAAACUCAAAGUCUGGUAAUAGAAACUAUCCAAAAUGAAUCAUAUGCAAGAAAAUGAUCCAAAAAAUAAUGAACAGUGUCUCAGUGACCUUUGGGACAAUUUGGAGUGGUGUAACAUAAAGUUCCAGAAGGACAGGCUGGGGCAAGGGAAAACAGUAGAAUAUUUGAAGACAUGAUGGCUAAAAUUUUCCAAAUUUGAUGAAAAAUAUAAGCUCAAUGAACCUCAAAUAGGAAAACAAAAACUCCACCGGAGCACAUUAUAACCAAAUUUUUGAAAACAAACAAUUUAGAGAAAAUCUUAAAAGUAACCAAAGGAAAAAAGACACAUUAUGUAUAAAGGAACAAAGAUAAAACAUAAGUACAGACUUCUCAUCUGAAACUACACAAGGAGACAAUGGACCAUGUUAUUUAAAGUGCUGAAUGAAAGAACAAAAUAAACUGUUGGCUUAGAUUUCUAGAUCCAGUAAAAAUAUUCCUCAGCAAUAAAAUUAAAUAAAUACUUGGAGACAAAUGUGAGCUGGGGUAAUUUGUUGCCAGCAGACUUAAACUAUAAGAAAUAUUGAAGAAUAUCCUUUAGACAGAAAGGAAAUUUCAGCAGAUGGAAACUUAGAUAUAGAAAAGAAAUGGAGAGUGCAAGGUGUGGUAAAUGUGCAAGGAAAUGUAAAAUGGGCCCUUCAAAACAAAUGUAAUAAUAUAUUUGCAAGCUUAUAAUAUAUGCAGAAGUAAAAUGUGGAACAAAAGACAGGAGAGGUUUUUAUAUGUGAAGUGGUAUAAUAUUAUUUGAAGGUAGAUUGUAAUAAGUUAAGGAAACCUAUAGUAAACCCUAGAGCAGAGACUGGCAAACUUGUGUAAAGAGCCAGAUAGUAGAAAUUUUAGGCUUUGCAUGCUACAUGGUCUCUGUGACAACUACUUAGUUCUGCCAUUGCAGCAUGAAACUCGUCAGCUAGAUAGACAACCAUA